GCGGAGCGGCCGUCGGUGCA
Molecule: non-coding RNA, 20 nt
Filed under: Arabidopsis thaliana (thale cress)
Lineage: Eukaryota; Viridiplantae; Streptophyta; Magnoliopsida; Brassicales; Brassicaceae
Source: RNAcentral